GGCUUGGUGGCGUAAUGGUAACACGCUUGCGUCCUUUAUGUAGUGUUCAUAUAUUGUUCGUGGUGAGUCCAGAGUUCGAUUCUCCAUCAAGCCA
Molecule: non-coding RNA, 94 nt
Organism: Mycena latifolia
Lineage: Eukaryota; Fungi; Basidiomycota; Agaricomycetes; Agaricales; Mycenaceae
Source: the annotation of a GenBank genome assembly